GACGAACGCUGGCGGCAUGCCUAAUACAUGCAAGUCGAGCGGAGUUGAUGGAAAGCUUGCUUUCCUGAUACUUAGCGGCGGACGGGUGAGUAACACGUAGGCAACCUGCCCUCAAGCUUGGGACAACUACCGGAAACGGUAGCUAAUACCGAAUACUUGUUUUCUUCGCCUGAAGGAAACUGGAAAGACGGAGCAAUCUGUCACUUGGGGAUGGGCCUGCGGCGCAUUAGCUAGUUGGUGAGGCAACGGCUCACCAAGGCGACGAUGCGUAGCCGACCUGGGAGGGUGAUCGGCCACACUGGGACUGAGACACGGCCCAGACUCCUACGGGAGGCAGCAGUAGGGAAUCUUCCGCAAUGGGCGAAAGCCUGACGGAGCAAUGCCGCGUGAGUGAUGAAGGUUUUCGGAUCGUAAAGCUCUGUUGCCAGGGAAGAACGCUUGGGAGAGUAACUGCUCCCAAGGUGACGGUACCUGAGAAGAAAGCCCCGGCUAACUACGUGCCAGCCGCCGCCGUAA
RNAcentral lists this ribosomal RNA (516 nucleotides) under uncultured bacterium. RNAcentral describes it as "partial 16S ribosomal RNA". It matches the Rfam family "Bacterial small subunit ribosomal RNA", at positions 28 to 523 of the family's 1533-position model. The record is from RNAcentral.